Molecule: small RNA, 468 nt
Filed under: Pongo abelii (Sumatran orangutan)
Lineage: Eukaryota; Metazoa; Chordata; Mammalia; Primates; Hominidae
Description: retained intron
Source: RNAcentral
CUGCUCAGCUUGGUCUGUGGUGGUGGUGGUGGUGGUGUGGGUUUGGGGUGCGGCCGGGUAGGGGGGUUCACCUGCGGCCGCGUCUGCUCGGGGCCUGAGGCCUCGAGGACCCCAGCCCAAACCCCCAGGUUGAUGCCGGCCCAGGAUGGAUCAGACCUGUGAACUACCCAGAAGAAAUUGUUUGCUGCCCUUUUCCAAUCCAGUGAAUUUAGAUGCCCCUGAAGACAAGGACAGCCCUUUCGGUAAUGGUCAAUCCAAUUUUUCUGAGCCACUUAAUGGGUGUACUAUGCAGUUAUCGACUGUCAGUGGAACAUCCCAAAAUGCUUAUGGACAAGAUUCUCCAUCUUGUUACAUUCCACUGCGGAGACUACAGGAUUUGGCCUCCAUGAUCAAUGUAGAGUAUUUAAAUGGGUCUGCUGAUGGAUCAGAAUCCUUUCAAGACCCUGAAAAAAGUGAUUCAAGAGCUCA